Molecule: ribosomal RNA, 504 nt
Filed under: uncultured bacterium
Lineage: Bacteria
Description: partial 16S ribosomal RNA
Rfam family: Bacterial small subunit ribosomal RNA
Source: RNAcentral
GAUGAACGCUAGCGGCAGGCCUAAUACAUGCAAGUCGAACGGGAUUGCGGUGUAGCUUGCUACACUGCAUGAGAGUGGCGCACGGGUGCGUAACGCGUGAGCAACCUGCCCAUAUCAGGGGGAUAGCCCGGAGAAAUCCGGAUUAACACCGCAUGUUACAGUAUUACCGCAUGGUAUAGCUGUUAAAUAUUUAUAGGAUAUGGAUGGGCUCGCGUGACAUUAGCUAGUUGGUGGGGUAACGGCCCACCAAGGCGACGAUGUCUAGGGGCUCUGAGAGGAGAAUCCCCCACACUGGUACUGAGACACGGACCAGACUCCUACGGGAGGCAGCAGUAAGGAAUAUUGGUCAAUGGGCGGAAGCCUGAACCAGCCAUGCCGCGUGCAGGACGACUGCCCUAUGGGUUGUAAACUGCUUUUGUACGGGAAUAACCCUCUCUACGAGUAGAGAGCUGAACGUACCGUAAGAAUAAGGAUCGGCUAACUUCGUGCCAGCCGCCGCGGUAA